RNAcentral lists this ribosomal RNA (258 nucleotides) under uncultured bacterium. RNAcentral describes it as "partial 16S ribosomal RNA". It matches the Rfam family "Bacterial small subunit ribosomal RNA", at positions 524 to 774 of the family's 1533-position model. The record is from RNAcentral.
UACGGAGGGUGCGAGCGUUGUCCGGAUUUAUUGGGUUUAAAGGGUGCGUAGGUGGGUUAAUAAGUCAGUGGUGAAAUACGGUUGCUCAACAAUCGAGGUGCCAUUGAUACUGUUAAUCUUGAAACAAGUGGAGGUUGCCGGAAUGGAUGGUGUAGCGGUGAAAAUGCAUAGAUAUCAUCCAGAACACCGAUUGCGAAAGGCAGGUGACUACGUUUUUGAUUUUGACACUGAGGCACGAAAAGCAUGGGGGAGCAAAAC